Long non-coding RNA from Papilio polytes (common Mormon), 211 nucleotides. RefSeq lists it as uncharacterized. Lineage: Eukaryota; Metazoa; Arthropoda; Insecta; Lepidoptera; Papilionidae. The transcript has 2 exons. The record is from RefSeq and is a predicted model, not a curated record.
AAAAAGAUCGAAGCCAAAAAGCGUAAGAAAGAUAUCGAAAAAAUAAAACGAUUUGCUGUACAAAAUAAAAAAGAUAGUUCCGUACAGGCUAUACAAAAGGCAAGAAAGAUUAUAUUUGAAGAUAGUUGCUAUGGAAAGCAACUAAUUAGUUGCCUUAUAGAAUCUAAAACUAUAGAAGAAAGAGAAGCGCAACUAAAAUUCCAGAAGAAAA